AUAACAUGUAUCUAACGGUAGAGGUGAUGACAUUAAUCAAAUAAUGGAUGCAUGGAAUCGUGGACGUGGACGAUGCUGCAUCGAUAAUCAGCCGGGCCAUAAUCCAUUAUUUCUGUUUAUAUUUUAAAGUAGGCCUAACAACCUUUCUGUUGACAUAUUCUGGGAUGUUUUGCACAUUCAGGAAGUGCCGUGUGCUCAGUGCUGUAGGUUUAAUAUCCAGUUUAUUUAGUAUCAGAGCUCUGCAGAAUGUUUGGUUGUUGGAGCUUGAAAAGCUCUGAAUUAAAUAUCAUAUAUGGCUUCAAUA
Molecule: long non-coding RNA, 304 nt
Organism: Sander lucioperca (pikeperch)
Lineage: Eukaryota; Metazoa; Chordata; Actinopteri; Perciformes; Percidae
Exons: 3
Source: RefSeq, a predicted model, not a curated record